This 329-nucleotide long non-coding RNA is filed under the name Mytilus galloprovincialis (Mediterranean mussel). Lineage: Eukaryota; Metazoa; Mollusca; Bivalvia; Mytilida; Mytilidae. The record is from RNAcentral.
GAUAAUAUAUAGGUUCGUUUCGUGUGUAUUUUAGUCCAGACGCCAUCUAAUUAACUAUCAAUUUGACCUCAGAUGACCAUAUAAGCGAUGUAAACAUAAAUAAAGAUAUGAAUAGAUUAAACCAACACGUGCAAUUGGAUUUUUGUCGAGCCUGCAACUUUUGUUGCAGAAAGCUCGACAUAGGGAUAGUGAUCCGGCGGCGGCGGCGGUGUUAGCUAACUUCUUAAAAGCUUUAUAUUUUAGAAGGUGGAAGACCUGGAUGCUUCAUACUUUGUAUAAAGAUGCCUCAUGUUACGAAGUUUCCGUCAGUCACAUGUCCAAUGUCCUUG